CCCUUCGGAUUUUAUUACUUGUCCUAUAGUUCUCAUAACAAAACCACCAUAUAUGUACAUUACUCCACUUCAUCUAUGACAUAUAAUAAAUAAAGAGCACAGAAUUAGAGAAGGGAGCAUGAGGAGGGUCACCUCCCUUACUUUCUUUUUAUUUUCCCCCUUCUUUGUUUUUUUUUAUAGUUCAUGGCAGAUGACUGGAGUAUACGUCCUUGAAUCUUAAAAGAGUAAGGCGAACUCUUCCUUCACAUGCCCUCAGAGUCAUCAUGCACAUGGAAUGAAGUGGAAAAAGAGAAACGUACCCUUUACUCCAUUCUAAAGCUUCUCCACCUUCAUAAGAAGACAUUUAUUCCCAUCUCCUUCGGAUCAAAAGAUAAAAUUGCACCACAUUGAGAAUCUUCAUUGCAAAGGGUAAAAAUCCAUACAAAAAUUAGUUGGGG
This 437-nucleotide long non-coding RNA is filed under the name Elaeis guineensis (African oil palm). Its description in RNAcentral is "long non-coding RNA (EGUI_LNC019204)". Lineage: Eukaryota; Viridiplantae; Streptophyta; Magnoliopsida; Arecales; Arecaceae. The record is from RNAcentral.